RNAcentral lists this ribosomal RNA (750 nucleotides) under uncultured bacterium. RNAcentral describes it as "bacterial SSU rRNA". It matches the Rfam family "Bacterial small subunit ribosomal RNA", at positions 43 to 782 of the family's 1533-position model. The record is from RNAcentral.
CAGGCCUAACACAUGCAAGUCGGACGGCAGCGGGGUAGUGCUUGCACUACUGCCGGCGAGUGGCGAACGGGUGAGUAAUAUAUUGGAACGUACCGAGUAAUGGGGGAUAACCAAUCGAAAGAUUGGCUAAUACCGCAUACGCUCUGAGGAGGAAAGCAGGGGACCUUCGGGCCUUGCGUUAUUCGAGCGGCCAAUAUCUGAUUAGCUAGUUGGUGGGGUAAAGGCCUACCAAGGCGACGAUCAGUAGCGGGUCUGAGAGGAUGAUCCGCCACACUGGGACUGAGACACGGCCCAGACUCCUACGGGAGGCAGCAGUGGGGAAUUUUGGACAAUGGGCGCAAGCCUGAUCCAGCCAUGCCGCGUGUCUGAAGAAGGCCUUCGGGUUGUAAAGGACUUUUGUUAGGGAAGAAAAAGGAGCGGUUAAUACCCGUUUCUGCUGACGGUACCUAAAGAAUAAGCACCGGCUAACUACGUGCCAGCAGCCGCGGUAAUACGUAGGGUGCGAGCGUUAAUCGGAAUUACUGGGCGUAAAGCGAGCGCAGACGGUUACUUAAGCAGGAUGUGAAAUCCCCGGGCUUAACCUGGGAACUGCGUUCUGAACUGGGUAGCUAGAGUAUGUCAGAGGGGGGUAGAAUUCCACGUGUAGCAGUGAAAUGCGUAGAGAUGUGGAGGAAUACCGAUGGCGAAGGCAGCCCCCUGGGAUAAUACUGACGUUCAUGCUCGAAAGCGUGGGUAGCAAACAGGAUUAGA